Non-coding RNA from Malus domestica (apple), 765 nucleotides. The record is from RefSeq and is a predicted model, not a curated record. NCBI's taxonomy places the organism in Eukaryota, Viridiplantae, Streptophyta, Magnoliopsida, Rosales, Rosaceae.
GAAAAACAUACAGAGGAAAGAAAUAUGAGUUAUGGAGGAAAAUGAAGAGAAGACGAAAGAAUAGAGAUGUAGAAGAAAUUACCAGUAAGCCAAGCUAGAGAUAAAAGAGAAAAUAGUGAGAGUUAUUUUGUACUCCUAUUAUUUCAGAUAAUGAAAGAAAGUACUACUGCUGCCGCGAGGACAUAGGCACACUUGCCAAACCUUGAAUACUUGCGCGUGCAAGCUCGCCAAAGUCAAUCCCGCUCUAUGGAUCUUGGUCCUUGCAAAUGGUCUUUACUAUUGUCUGGUCGUCUCAAAUUGAAUUUUGAUGGAGCCUGGAAUCGUGAUUCUCUAGUUGGAUGAGCUUGCAUCAUCGUUAGGAUGAAUUUGGAAAGUCGGGGCUCAUUGCUGGAAUUGGCAGAACGUCUCAUCUUUGCUAAUGGCGGAAGCUUUGGCAGCUCAUGAGUGCGUGGUUUGGGUAGCGUUAAUAGGCUUUCAAAAUUUUAUUAUGGAAGGUGACUCUCUUCAGAUUGUGGUUGCUUUUAAUCAUUCGUUAACUAAUGUAUCUCUAAUCGGCAUAUUAUUGAAGAUUCGAAGAGUUUGCUUGCCGCAAUCACUGAAGAUCUUUCUACCCAUGUUUUCUUUCAAGCCAACACUAUUGCUCAUAGGAUAACUAGGUUCAGUCUAAAUAUUAGCAAUCAUUUUGAAUGGCUUGACCAUCCUUUGAGUUUCAUUAUUGACCUCAUUGUGGAGGAUGUUAUGUAAUCCAUUUGUACUAUUCUUCUC